CUCAGUAUAUCGUACCCGGCUCAGAUGAACUAAAAUCAUUUGUGCAUGCCCGGGCAAGCACAGUAGCCUACACGGUGUACCACUUUUUAACGCUUACCACAAAAUAACACGACACCGGUAGAAGUUUAUAAAAAUUCACUGCACACAAUCCAGCAAUUCGUGGUUUAAAACUUAGAGUCAACAAGUAGAUAACUAUUUUAAAAUGUAUACAACUGAUUUUUACAUGGCGUAUUUCAAGGUUAUAGUUUUGUUUUAUAAGCAUAGCCUGCUUGUCCUUCAGGAUGCGUCAAAUUGAAUCCGGAAGCGGUGUCCUCGCUACCCCGUGCUGUGUGUGGUUUCCGUAGCAACGGGGUUGUUUACUAACCUGUGCACGGAGAGUUAGUUUGAUACAAACUGCGUCUCUCAUUAGAAUACCCUGUAAGUGGAAUAAACCAUUUCGGAAAUACAGAAGACUUUAAAAUGCCGACCUUGAAGGGGGUUUCAAAGCCCCCCAUCGGGGAGACCCUGAGGCGUUACAAUGUCCUGCCCCCGAUUUCAGGCCCCAGUGGCAGGGCUGAGCUGGAGAAGCUGACUGCAAGCGACAGGCCUGAGCGCAGCAAGCUACUGAAACAAAGAGAGAGCCUCCAGUAGAGACGCCUGCUCAAUCAGAUCGUCAUUCAAGGGGCUGUGCGUGCCUAUGAGCAAGAAAUGGAAGCAAAUAUAAAGAGAAUUCCCUCUCCUCCAGAACCCCAGUUACCCUCCACGGUAAGAACACAAGAUGGAGAUGGAGCCUCAGCCCUGCUAGCACACCAUUCACACUAUCCCAUGGAAUCUAAUGCCACAGUUCAUAUUCCUGGUGUGUUUCAGAAAACCCUUCAAUGGAUGUAUAACUUUGUGUAAAAACAUGCUAGCUACCUUCUGUUAUAAACUUCCUUUAGUUCAGCUUCCAUUGUAACUGUGCCCUCUCAUGGACUAAAAGCACUGUCUGCUCAGAAAGUGACAGACGUGCAUGCCACUGCCCCAAAUGAGUUGAUCGUGUGUGAUAUAUUCUCUGUAUAAUGAUAUAUUCUCUGUGUAAUGAUAUAUUCUCUGUGUAAUGAUAUAUUCUCUGUAUAAUGUUUAUAAUCAAGGGCUUUUUCACU
Molecule: long non-coding RNA, 1121 nt
Organism: Acipenser ruthenus (sterlet)
Lineage: Eukaryota; Metazoa; Chordata; Actinopteri; Acipenseriformes; Acipenseridae
Exons: 3
Source: RefSeq, a predicted model, not a curated record